GAACGCUAGCUACAGGCUUAACACAUGCAAGUCGAGGGGCAGCAUUUCAGUUUGCUUGCAAACUGGAGAUGGCGACCGGCGCACGGGUGAGUAACACGUAUCCAACCUGCCGAUAACUCGGGGAUAGCCUUUCGAAAGAAAGAUUAAUACCCGAUGGUAUAAUCAGACCGCAUGGUCUUGUUAUUAAAGAAUUUCGGUUAUCGAUGGGGAUGCGUUCCAUUAGGCAGUUGGUGAGGUAACGGCUCACCAAACCUUCGAUGGAUAGGGGUUCUGAGAGGAAGGUCCCCCACAUUGGAACUGAGACACGGUCCAAACUCCUACGGGAGGCAGCAGUGAGGAAUAUUGGUCAAUGGGCGCAGGCCUGAACCAGCCAAGUAGCGUGAAGGAUGUCUGCCCUAUGGGUUGUAAACUUCUUUUAUAUGGGAAUAAAGCUUUCCACGUGUGGAAUUUUGUAUGUACCAUAUGAAUAAGGAUCGGCUAACUCCGUGCCAGCAGCCGCGGUAAUACGGAGGAUCCGAGCGUUAUCCGGAUUUAUUGGGUUUAAAGGGAGCGUAGGUGGACAGUUAAGUCAGUUGUGAAAGUUUGCGGCUCAACCGUAAAAUUGCAGUUGACACUGGCUGUCUUGAGUACAGUAGAGGUGGGCGGAAUUCGUGGUGUAGCGGUGAAAUGCUUAGAUAUCACGAAGAACUCCGAUUGCGAAGGCAGCUCACUGGACUGCAACUGACACUGAUGCUCGAAAGUGUGGGUAUCAAACAGGAUUAGAUACCCUGGUAGUCCACACAGUAAACGAUGAAUACUCGCUGUUUGCGAUAUACAGUAAGCGGCCAAGCGAAAGCAUUAAGUAUUCCACCUGGGGAGUACGCCGGCAACGGUGAAACUCAAAGGAAUUGACGGGGGCCCGCACAAGCGGAGGAACAUGUGGUUUAAUUCGAUGAUACGCGAGGAACCUUACCCGGGCUUAAAUUGCAUUUGAAUAAUCUGGAAACAGGUUAGCCGCAAGGCAAAUGUGAAGGUGCUGCAUGGUUGUCGUCAGCUCGUGCCGUGAGGUGUCGGCUUAAGUGCCAUAACGAGCGCAACCCUUAUCUUUAGUUACUAACAGGUCAUGCUGAGGACUCUAGAGAGACUGCCGUCGUAAGAUGUGAGGAAGGUGGGGAUGACGUCAAACCAGCACGGCCCUUACGUCCGGGGCUACACACGUGUUACAAUGGGGGGUACAGAAGGCAGCUACCUGGUGACAGGAUGCUAAUCCCAAAAGCCUCUCUCAGUUCGGAUCGAAGUCUGCAACCCGACUUCGUGAAGCUGGAUUCGCUAGUAAUCGCGCAUCAGCCAUGGCGCGGUGAAUACGUUCCCGGGCCUUGUACACACCGCCCGUCAAGCCAUGAAAGCCGGGGGUACCUGAAGUACGUAACCGCAAGGAGCGUCCUAGGGUAAAACUGA
Molecule: ribosomal RNA, 1437 nt
Filed under: uncultured organism
Description: 16S ribosomal RNA
Rfam family: Bacterial small subunit ribosomal RNA
Source: RNAcentral